AACGAACGCUGGCGGCAUGCCUAACACAUGCAAGUCGAACGAGACCUUCGGGUCUAGUGGCGCACGGGUGCGUAACGCGUGGGAACCUGCCCUUAGGUUCGGAAUAACUCCCCGAAAGGGGUGCUAAUACCGGAUAAUGUCUUCGGACCAAAGAUUUAUCGCCUUUGGAUGGGCCCGCGUUGGAUUAGCUAGUUGGUAGGGUAAAAGCCUACCAAGGCGACGAUCCAUAGCUGGUCUGAGAGGAUGAUCAGCCACACUGGGACUGGGACACGGCCCAGACUCUACAGGAAGGAAGCAGGGGGGAAAUUGGGGCAAGGGGGGAAAGCCGGACCCAGAAAGGCCGGUGAGGUGGUGAAGGCGUGAGGGUUGAAAAGCUCUUUUACCCGGGAUGAAAAUACAGGAACCGGGGAAAAAAGCCCCGGUAACCCCGGG
Molecule: ribosomal RNA, 432 nt
Filed under: uncultured bacterium
Lineage: Bacteria
Description: partial 16S ribosomal RNA
Rfam family: Bacterial small subunit ribosomal RNA
Source: RNAcentral